RNAcentral lists this transfer RNA (65 nucleotides) under Myrmeleon immanis. RNAcentral's name for it is "tRNA-Thr". It matches the Rfam family "tRNA". Rfam says of the family: Transfer RNA (tRNA) molecules are approximately 80 nucleotides in length. Their secondary structure includes four short double-helical elements and three loops (D, anti-codon, and T loops). Further hydrogen bonds mediate the characteristic L-shaped molecular structure. tRNAs have two regions of fundamental functional importance: the anti-codon, which is responsible for specific mRNA codon recognition, and the 3' end, to which the tRNAs corresponding amino acid is attached (by aminoacyl-tRNA synthetases). tRNAs cope with the degeneracy of the genetic code in two manners: having more than one tRNA (with a specific anti-codon) for a particular amino acid; and 'wobble' base-pairing, i.e. permitting non-standard base-pairing at the 3rd anti-codon position. The record is from RNAcentral. Lineage: Eukaryota; Metazoa; Arthropoda; Insecta; Neuroptera; Myrmeleontidae.
GUUUUAAUAGUUUAAUAAAAACAUUGGUCUUGUAUACCAAUAAUAAGAUUCAAUCUUUUAAAACU